This 1244-nucleotide ribosomal RNA is filed under the name Mundochthonius itohi. Its description in RNAcentral is "SSU rRNA". It matches the Rfam family "Eukaryotic small subunit ribosomal RNA", at positions 441 to 1718 of the family's 1831-position model. Lineage: Eukaryota; Metazoa; Arthropoda; Arachnida; Pseudoscorpiones; Chthoniidae. The record is from RNAcentral.
UUACCCAAUCCCGGUUCGGGGAGGUAGUGACGAAAAAUAACGAUGCGGGACUCUAUCGAGUUCCCGUAAUUGGAAUGAGUACACUGUAAACCUUUUAACGAGGAUCAAUUGGAGGGCAAGUCUAGUGCCAGCAGCCGCGGUAAUUCUAGCUCCAAUAGCGUAUAUUAAAGUUGUUGCGGUUAAAAAGCUCGUAGUUGGAUCUCNGUCGAGGCCCGUCGAUCCUUCUUGGAAGGUUAUUGACGGGGCCGGCAUGACGUCGGUCGUCGUCGCUGGCCUUNNCUGGCUGGUGGCGUUGUCCGGCAAUUUUACUUUGAAAAAAUUAGAGUGCUCAAAGCAGGCCGACGCCUGGAUAAUGGUGCAUGGAAUAAUGGAAUAGGACCUCGGUUCUAUUUUGUUGGUUUUCGGAACCCGAGGUAAUGAUAAAGAGGGACAGACGGGGGCAUUUGUACUGCGAGUAUAGAGGUGAAAUUCUUGGAUCCUCGCAAGACAAACUACUGCGAAAGCAUUUGCCAAGAAUGUUUUCAUUAAUCAAGAACGAAAGUUAGAGGUUCGAAGGCGAUCAGAUACCGCCCUAGUUCUAACCAUAAACGAUGCCACCUAGCAAUCCGCCCGAGUUCCUCAUACGACUCGGCGGGCAGCUUCCGGGAAACCAAAGCUUGUGGGCUCCGGGGGAAGUAUGGUUGCAAAGCUGAAACUUAAAGGAAUUGACGGAAGGGCACCACCAGGAGUGGAGCCUGCGGCUUAAUUUGACUCAACACGGGGAAACUUACCCGGCCCGGAUACCGGAAGGAUUGACAGAUUAAGAGCUCUUUCUUGAUUCGGUAAGGAGUGGUGCAUGGCCGUUCUUAGUUGGUGGAGUGAUUUGUCUGGUUAAUUCCGAUAACGAACGAGACUCUAGCCUACUAAAUAGGCGUUCCAUCUUGCGUUGUGGAGCGCUCUUCUUAGAGGGACGGGCGGCUUUCAGCCGCAUGAGAAAGAGCAAUAACAGGUCUGUGAUGCCCUUAGAUGUCCGGGGCCGCACGCGCGCUACAAUGAAGGACUCAGCGUGUCUUUACCUAUUCCGAAAGGACGGGGUAAUCCGUUGAAACUCCUUCGUGAUUGGGAUAGGGGCUUGUAACUGUUCCCCUUGAACGAGGAAUUCCCAGUAAGCGCGAGUCAUCAGCUCGCGUUGAUUACGUCCCUGCCCUUUGUACACACCGCCCGUCGCUACUACCGAUUGAGUUAUCUCAACCUAUAACAAUUUU